GCCCCAAAUUUAGCCCUAGACUAUUAUAUAAAUUCAACAGACCUAGUCCAUAAGAUAAAACAUUUUAACUUAUUAAGUAGAGGCGAUUGAAAAAGCUCUAAGCGCUAUAGAGAAAGUACCGCAAGGGAAAAAUGAAAUAACAGUGAAAUAAUAAAGCUAUUAAUAGCAGAGACCUUACCUCGUACCUUUUGCAUCAUGGCCCAGCAAGACUUAAUAAGCAAAAUGAAAUUUAAGUUUUUAACCCCGAAACUAAGCGAGCUACUUUUAAACAGCCUCUCGGGCCAACCCGUCUCUGUAGCAAUAGAGUGGGACGAUUUAUAAGUAGAAGUGAAAAGCCUAUCGAGCCUAGAAAUAGCUGGUUAUUCAUGAAAAGAAUAUAAGUUCUGCCUUAAGUUUUCCUAAUGACCUCAAACAAAAUCUCAAACUUAAGAGUUAUUUAAAUAAGGAACAGCUUAUUUAAACCAGGACACAACCUAUACAAGAGGGUAAGGCCUUAGUUGUCACCAAGUGGGCCUGAAGGCAGCCAUCUUUUAAAAAGCGUCAAAGCUUAACCUAAUUUUACCUAAAUACUAUUAAUCCCCCUGACCCCCUAUUUGAUAAUGAAUGACUCCAUACAAUUAUGGAAGACACCAUGCUGGGAUGAGUAACAAGAAUUUAUAAUUCUCCUAAAUGCAAACAUAGACCAACGCGGACAAACCAUUGGUAAUUACCGAAUCUGAGCUUAUUGCACUAACAUCUACAAGAAAAUCCUGCAGUACUCACUCGUUAACCUAACACUAGUGCAUUCCGGGAAAGAUUUUAAAAAAGAGAAGGAACUCGGCAAAUAACGACCCCGCCUGUUUACCAAAAACAUCGCCUCUUGUUUAUGAUAAGAGGUCCAGCCUGCCCAGUGAACUUUUAACGGCCGCGGUACCCUAACCGCGCGAAGGUAGCAUAAUCACUUGUUCUUUAAAUGGGGACUUGUAUCAACGGCAUCACGAGGGUUUUACUGUCUCCUCUUUUUAAUCAGUGAAAUUGAUCUUCCCGUGAAGAAGCGGGAAUACCCCUAUAAGACGAGAAGACCCCAUGGAGCUUUAAACCAAAUAGCAACUUAACUAUAUAUCCCCCCAUAGUUCCAUAAAGCCAUGCUACAAGGUUUUUGGUUGGGGUGACCGCGGAGUAAAAUGUAACCUCCACGACGGAAAGGCCACAAUCUUUAUUUAAGAACCACAAUUCUAAAAACUAGCACACUAACGUACACUGACCCGACAAUCGAUCAACGGACCAAGUUACCCUGGGGAUAACAGCGCAAUCUACUUCGAGAGCCCAUAUCGACAAGUAGGCUUACGACCUCGAUGUUGGAUCAGGGUAUCCCAGUGGUGCA
Molecule: ribosomal RNA, 1363 nt
Filed under: Polypedates pseudocruciger (false hour-glass tree frog)
Lineage: Eukaryota; Metazoa; Chordata; Amphibia; Anura; Rhacophoridae
Description: partial 16S rRNA
Rfam family: Bacterial large subunit ribosomal RNA
Source: RNAcentral